CGCACCGUAAACGAUGAUUACUCGUUGUUGGCAAUAUGACCGUCAGCGACCAAGCGAAAGCGAUAAGUAAUCCACCUGGGGAGUACGCCGGCAACGGUGAAACUCAAAGGAAUUGACGGGGGCCCGCACAAGCGGAGGAGCAUGUGGUUUAAUUCGAUGAUACGCGAGGAACCUUACCUGGGCUUGAAAGUUAGUGACCGGUUCUGAAAGGAAUCUUUCCGCAAGGACACGAAACUAGGUGC
RNAcentral lists this ribosomal RNA (242 nucleotides) under uncultured bacterium. Its description in RNAcentral is "partial 16S ribosomal RNA". It matches the Rfam family "Bacterial small subunit ribosomal RNA", at positions 796 to 1041 of the family's 1533-position model. The record is from RNAcentral.